Molecule: ribosomal RNA, 254 nt
Filed under: uncultured bacterium
Lineage: Bacteria
Description: partial 16S ribosomal RNA
Rfam family: Bacterial small subunit ribosomal RNA
Source: RNAcentral
UACGGGGGGAGCAAGCGUUGUUCGGAUUUACUGGGCGUAAAGGGCGCGUAGGCGGCCACUACAAGUCAGUUGUGAAAUCUCUGGGCUUAACUCAGAACGGUCAACUGAUACUGUCGGACUAGAGUGCAGAAGGGGCAACUGGAAUUCUCGGUGUAGCGGUGAAAUGCGUAGAUAUCGAGAGGAACACCUGCGGCGAAGGCGGGUUGCUGGGCUGACACUGACGCUGAGGCGCGAAAGCUAGGGGAGCGAACGGG